This 482-nucleotide ribosomal RNA is filed under the name uncultured soil bacterium. RNAcentral describes it as "bacterial SSU rRNA". It matches the Rfam family "Bacterial small subunit ribosomal RNA", at positions 8 to 471 of the family's 1533-position model. The record is from RNAcentral.
AGAGUUUGAUCCUGGCUCAGAAUCAACGCUGGCGGCGUGCCUAACACAUGCAAGUCGAACGCGAAAGUCCCGCAAGGGAUAAGUAGAGUGGCAAACGGGUGAGUAACACGUGGGUGACCUGCCUUCGAGCGGGGGAUAACGUCCCGAAAGGGACGCUAAUACCGCAUAACAUCCUGCCUUUUAAGAGGUGGAGAUCAAAGCCGGGGACCGCAAGGCCUGGCACUUGAAGAGGGGCCCGCGUCUGAUUAGCUAGUUGGUGGGGUAAUGGCCUACCAAGGCAACGAUCAGUAUCCGGCCUGAGAGGGCGGACGGACACACUGGGACUGAGACACGGCCCAGACUCCUACGGGAGGCAGCAGUGGGGAAUUGUUCGCAAUGGGCGCAAGCCUGACGACGCAACGCCGCGUGGAGGAUGAAGACCUUCGGGUCGUAAACUCCUUUCGAUCGAGACGAAUGUUUUCCGGGUGAACAAUCCGGAAAAG